Molecule: ribosomal RNA, 492 nt
Filed under: uncultured bacterium
Lineage: Bacteria
Description: partial 16S ribosomal RNA
Rfam family: Bacterial small subunit ribosomal RNA
Source: RNAcentral
GACGAACGCUGGCGGCGUGCUUAACACAUGCAAGUGGAGCGACGAACCAGGGCUUGCCCUGGGGCAGAGCCGCGAACGGGUGAGUAACACGUGGGUAACGUGCCCCGAUGACUGGGACAACCCGGGGAAACCCGGGCUAAUACCGGAUGUGCCCCCUCACAUCAGUGAGGUGUGUAAAGGAAGCUUCGGCCUCCGCAUCGGGAUCGGCCCGCGGCCCAUUAGCUUGUUGGUGAGGUAACGGCUCACCAAGGCUGCGAUGGGUAGCUGGUCUGAGAGGACGAUCAGCCACACUGGGACUGAGACACGGCCCAGACUCCUACGGGAGGCAGCAGUGGGGAAUCUUGCGCAAUGCGCGAAUGCGUGACGCAGCAACGCCGCGUGGGGGAAGACGGCCUUCGGGUUGUAAACCCCUUUCAGUUGGGACGAAGGUCGGGCGGUUAACAGCCGUUCCGGCUGACGGUACCUUCACAAGAAGCCCCGGCUAACUACGUG